AUUUAUUUAGGUUUUUGUAUUAAGUGACAACUAAAAAGGAAUUAAACUGAUUUUAUGUUCGAUUUAUCUUUUCUAUAUAAAAAAAUUAAUUUAUUCAAUUUGUAUUAAUUUAAUUUGAUUUAAACUGAUGCAUACAAAUUGUUAAUGGAAAACAACUAAGAAGGAGCAAGACAAGCCAACCAAAAUAGAACUUUUGGAUCACAAAAUAUUUAAACUGUGAGCAUGCUGUUAAUCCACUGAGAUGGG
Molecule: long non-coding RNA, 246 nt
Filed under: Jatropha curcas
Lineage: Eukaryota; Viridiplantae; Streptophyta; Magnoliopsida; Malpighiales; Euphorbiaceae
Description: long non-coding RNA (JCUR_LNC003242)
Source: RNAcentral